This 253-nucleotide ribosomal RNA is filed under the name uncultured bacterium. Its description in RNAcentral is "partial 16S ribosomal RNA". It matches the Rfam family "Bacterial small subunit ribosomal RNA", at positions 524 to 776 of the family's 1533-position model. The record is from RNAcentral.
GACGGAGGGUGCUAGCGUUGUUCGGAAUGACUGGGCGUAAAGGGCGCGUAGGCGGCCGCUUGCGUCGGAUGUGAAAGCCCGGGGCUCAACCCCGGAACGGCAUCCGAUACGGGGCGGCUCGAGACCGAGAGAGGUGAGUGGAAUACCCAGUGUAGAGGUGAAAUUCGUAGAUAUUGGGUGGAACACCAGUGGCGAAAGCGGCUCACUGGCUCGGUUCUGACGCUGAGGCGCGAAAGCGUGGGGAGCAAACAGG